This 64-nucleotide transfer RNA is filed under the name Antigona lamellaris. RNAcentral describes it as "tRNA-Tyr". Lineage: Eukaryota; Metazoa; Mollusca; Bivalvia; Venerida; Veneridae. The record is from RNAcentral.
GAAAAGGCGGCCGUUGAGGUGUUAAGUUGUAACCUUAGUUAUAGAAAAGUUUUUCUUCUUUUUA